GAUGAAGGACGUAGCAAAAUGCGAUAAGUAAUGUGAAUUGCAGAAUUCAGUGAAUCAUCGAAUCUUUGAACGCACAUUGCGCCCGCCAGUAUUCUGGCGGGCAUGCCUGUUCGAGCGUCAUUUCAACCCUCAAGCACAGCUUGGUGUUGGGACUCGCGUUAAUUCGCGUUCCUCAAAUUGAUUGGCGGUCACGUCGAGCUUCCAUAGCGUAGUAGUAAAACCCUCGUUACUGGUAAUCGUCGCGGCCACGCCGUUAAACCCCAACUUCUGAAUGUUGACCUCGGAUCAGGUAGGAAUACCCGCUGAACUUAAGCAUAUCAAUAAGCGGAGGA
RNAcentral lists this unclassified non-coding RNA (332 nucleotides) under soil metagenome. Its description in RNAcentral is "partial contains 5.8S ribosomal RNA, internal transcribed spacer 2, and large subunit ribosomal RNA". The stretch from base 1 to 120 matches the Rfam family "5.8S ribosomal RNA", at positions 35 to 154 of the family's 154-position model. The record is from RNAcentral.